AGUCGAGGGGCAGCAUUUUAGUUUGCUUUGCAAACUAAAGAUGGCGACCGGCGCACGGGCUGAGCUAACACGCUAUCCAACCUGCCGAUAACUCGGGGAUAGCCUUUCGAAAGAAAGAUUAAUAUCCGAUAGUAUAUUAAAACCGCAUGGUUUUUACUAUUAAAGAAUUUCGGUUAUCGAUGGGGAUGCGUUCCAUUAGUUUGUUGGCGGGGUAACGGCCCACCAAGACUACGAUGGAUAGGGGUUCUGAGAGGAAGGUCCCCCACAUUGGAACUGAGACACGGUCCAAACUCAUACGGGAGGCAGCAGUGAGGAAUAUUGGUCAAUGGACGAGAGUCUGAACCAGCCAAGUAGCGUGAAGGAUGACUGCCCUAUGGGUUGUAAACUUCUUUUAUAUGGGAAUAAAGUAUUCCACGUGUGGGAUUUUGUAUGUACCAUAUGAAUAAGGAUCGGCUAACUCCGUGCCAGCAGCCGCGGUAAUACGGAGGAUCCGAGCGUUAUCCGGAUUUAUUGGGUUUAAAGGGAGCGUAGGUGGAUUGUUAAGUCAGUUGUGAAAGUUUGCGGCUCAACCGUAAAAUUGCAGUUGAAACUGGCAGUCUUGAGUACAGUAGAGGUGGGCGGAAUUCGUGGUGUAGCGGUGAAAUGCUUAGAUAUCACGAAGAACUCCGAUUGCGAAGGCAGCUCACUAGACUGCAACUGACACUGAUGCUCGAAAGUGUGGGUAUCAAACAGGAUUAGAUACCCUGGUAGUCCACACAGUAAACGAUGAAUACUCGCUGUUUGCGAUAUACAGUAAGCGGCCAAGCGAAAGCAUUAAGUAUUCCACCUGGGGAGUACGCCGGCAACGGUGAAACUCAAAGGAAUUGACGGGGGCCCGCACAAGCGGAGGAACAUGUGGUUUAAUUCGAUGAUACGCGAGGAACCUUACCCGGGCUUAAAUUGCAUUUGAAUAAUCUGGAAACAGGUUAGCCGCAAGGCAAAUGUGAAGGUGCUGCAUGGUUGUCGUCAGCUCGUGCCGUGAGGUGUCGGCUUAAGUGCCAUAACGAGCGCAACCCUUAUCUUUAGUUACUAACAGGUCAUGCUGAGGACUCUAGAGAGACUGCCGUCGUAAGAUGUGAGGAAGGUGGGGAUGACGUCAAAUCAGCACGGCCCUUACGUCCGGGGCUACACACGUGUUACAAUGGGGGGUACAGAAGGCAGCUACCUGGCGACAGGAUGCUAAUCCCAAAAACCUCUCUCAGUUCGGAUCGAAGUCUGCAACCCGACUUCGUGAAGCUGGAUUCGCUAGUAAUCGCGCAUCAGCCAUGGCGCGGUGAAUACGUUCCCGGGCCUUGUACACACCGCCCGUCAAGCCAUGAAAGCCGGGGGUACCUGAAGUACGAACCGCAAGGAG
RNAcentral lists this ribosomal RNA (1393 nucleotides) under bacterium NLAE-zl-G153. RNAcentral describes it as "16S ribosomal RNA". It matches the Rfam family "Bacterial small subunit ribosomal RNA". The record is from RNAcentral.